Molecule: long non-coding RNA, 347 nt
Filed under: Mus spicilegus (steppe mouse)
Lineage: Eukaryota; Metazoa; Chordata; Mammalia; Rodentia; Muridae
Description: lncRNA (ENSMSIG00000018963.1)
Source: RNAcentral
AUUANNNNNNNNNNAAGGUACUCUGGGAAGUUGUUGCUGAGGGAAUGUACAGCAUUCUUUGAGACCUUCCACCUGCAUCAUAUGUCUCUUUGUUUUUCUUUCAGAAUCCUAGAACUGUCUUCUCCAUGAAUGUCAUUAAUCUGUGUCCUCAAAUGACAUUAAAUCCUGUGUUGGAACAUCUAUUGGAUGGACAAUAACGAAGCUGAGAAGCACUCACUGAGAUGAAGCUUGGUAUACAGAUCCUGAUGAUAAGAGAGUCUUCACCAUCUUGCAUCAUAUACAUGAAAAACAAAAAGACAGUGAUUCUGGACUCAAGUGUGUGCCUGGCUCUGCAAGGACCAAGGCUA